CCUGACGGAGCAAUACCGCGUGAGGGACGAAGGUCUGUGGAUUGUAAACCUCUUUUGUUAGGGAAGAUAAUGACGGUACCUAACGAAUAAGCAUCGGCUAACUCCGUGCCAGCAGCCGCGGUAAGACGGAGGAUGCAAGCGUUAUCCGGAAUUAUUGGGCGUAAAGCGUACGUAGGCUGUUAGAUAAGUCUGUUGUCAAAGCGCGAGGCUCAACCUUGUAAAGGCAAUGGAAACUGUUUGACUAGAGAGAGAUAGGGGCAGGAGGAAUUCCAGGUGUAGCGGUGAAAUGCGUAGAUAUCUGGAAGAACACCAGUGGCGAAAGCGUCCUGCUGGAUCUCAACUGACGCUGAAGUACGAAAGCUAGGGGAGCGAAUGGGAUUAGAUACCCCAG
This 391-nucleotide ribosomal RNA is filed under the name uncultured cyanobacterium. Its description in RNAcentral is "bacterial SSU rRNA". It matches the Rfam family "Bacterial small subunit ribosomal RNA", at positions 382 to 790 of the family's 1533-position model. Lineage: Bacteria; Bacillati; Cyanobacteriota. The record is from RNAcentral.